RNAcentral lists this ribosomal RNA (259 nucleotides) under uncultured prokaryote. RNAcentral's name for it is "partial 16S ribosomal RNA". It matches the Rfam family "Bacterial small subunit ribosomal RNA", at positions 524 to 782 of the family's 1533-position model. The record is from RNAcentral.
UACGGAGGAUGCAAGCGUUAUCCGGAUUUAUUGGGUUUAAAGGGUGCGUAGGUGGAUUGGUAAGUCAGUGGUGAAAGUUUGCAGCUUAACUGUAAAAUUGCCGUUGAAACUGCCGGUCUUGAGUGCAAAUGAGGUAGGCGGAAUGCGUCGUGUAGCGGUGAAAUGCUUAGAUAUGACGCAGAACUCAGAUUGCGAAGGCAGCUUACUGGGAUGCAACUGACGCUGAGGCACGAAAGCGUGGGUAUCAAACAGGAUUAGA